UCCCGUGUGGCUCAGUCGGUAGAGCAUGGUGUUUGCAACCCCAGGGUUCGCGGUUCGAUUCCCACGGGGG
This is a non-coding RNA of Salmo salar (Atlantic salmon), 70 nucleotides long. The record is from Rfam. NCBI's taxonomy places the organism in Eukaryota, Metazoa, Chordata, Actinopteri, Salmoniformes, Salmonidae.